GGACCAAUUUGUUGGUCGUGCCUCGGUACGUACUGGUAUUAUUGGUUUCUCCCUUCUGAAGAACCUUGAUGUCAUUAAUUUGGUGUCUUGGGGAAUCAGGACUGUUACUUUGAAAAAAUUAGAGUGUUUAAAGCAGGCAUACGCUUGAAUACAUUAGCAUGGAAUAAUAAAAUAGGACGGCAUGAUUCUAUUUUGUUGGUUUCUAGGAUCGAUGUAAUGAUUAAUAGGGAUAGUUGGG
Molecule: ribosomal RNA, 238 nt
Filed under: uncultured Glomus
Lineage: Eukaryota; Fungi; Glomeromycota; Glomeromycetes; Glomerales; Glomeraceae
Description: partial small subunit ribosomal RNA
Rfam family: Eukaryotic small subunit ribosomal RNA (bases 46-238)
Source: RNAcentral